This 500-nucleotide ribosomal RNA is filed under the name uncultured bacterium. Its description in RNAcentral is "bacterial SSU rRNA". It matches the Rfam family "Bacterial small subunit ribosomal RNA", at positions 9 to 525 of the family's 1533-position model. The record is from RNAcentral.
GAGUUUGAUCCUGGCUCAGGACGAACGCUGGCGGCGUGCUUAACACAUGCAAGUCGAACGAACUCGAGACUUCGGUCUCAAUGAGUUAGUGGCGAACGGGUGAGUAACACGUGAGAAACCUGCCCCAAAGUUUGGAAUAACCCAGAGAAAUUUGGACUAAUACCAGAUGCCCUCACGGAAUCGAAUGGUUCUGUAAGGAAAGAUUUAUCGCUUUGGGAGGGUCUCGCGGCCUAUCAGCUAGUUGGUGAGGUAAUAGCUCACCAAGGCAUCGACGGGUAGCUAGUCUGAGAGGACGAAUAGCCACACUGGAACUGAGACACGGUCCAGACUCCUACGGGAGGCAGCAGUGGGGAAUCUUGCACAAUGGGCGAAAGCCUGAUGCAGCGACGCCGCGUGGGGGAUGAAGGCCUUAGGGUCGUAAACCCCUUUCAGGAGGGACGAAAAUGACGGUACCUCCAGAAGAAGCCCCGGCCAACUACGUGCCAGCAGCCGCGGUAAUA